This 496-nucleotide ribosomal RNA is filed under the name uncultured bacterium. RNAcentral's name for it is "bacterial SSU rRNA". It matches the Rfam family "Bacterial small subunit ribosomal RNA", at positions 26 to 518 of the family's 1533-position model. The record is from RNAcentral.
UAGGACGAACGCUGGCGGCGUGCCUAACACAUGCAAGUCGAGCGAGGGAUUACGACAGAUUCCUUCGGGAUGAAGAUGUAGAUUCCUAGCGGCGGAUGGGUGAGUAACGCGUGAGGAACCUGCCUUCUACAAGGGGAUAGCCUCGGGAAACCGGGAUUAAUACCCUAUGACACUUAAGAUUCACAUGAAUUUUAAGUCAAAGCGAUUUAGCGGUAGAAGAUGGCCUCGUGUCCCAUUAGCUAGUUGGUGAGGUAACGGCUCACCAUGGCUACGAUGGGUAGCCGGCUUGAGAGAGUGAACGGCCACACUGGAACUGAGACACGGUCCAGACUCCUACGGGAGGCAGCAGUGGGGAAUAUUGCACAAUGGAGGAAACUCUGAUGCCAGCGACGCCGCGUGAGUGAUGAAGGCUUUCGAGUCGUAAAGCUCUGUCCUAUGGGACGAUAAUGACGGUACCAUAGGAGGAAGCCCCGGCUAACUACGUGCCAGCCGCUGC